RNAcentral lists this transfer RNA (26 nucleotides) under Pamburus missionis. RNAcentral describes it as "partial tRNA-Asp". Lineage: Eukaryota; Viridiplantae; Streptophyta; Magnoliopsida; Sapindales; Rutaceae. RNAcentral also lists the same sequence under 1 other name. The record is from RNAcentral.
CGGGACUGACGGGGCUCGAACCCGCA